UGGGGAAUAUUGGACAAUGGGCGAAAGCCUGAUCCAGCCAUGCCGCGUGUGUGAAGAAGGUCUUCGGAUUGUAAAGCACUUUAAGUUGGGAGGAAGGGCAGUAAGCGAAUACCUUGCUGUUUUGACGUUACCGACAGAAUAAGCACCGGCUAACUCUGUGCCAGCAGCCGCGGUAAUACAGAGGGUGCAAGCGUUAAUCGGAAUUACUGGGCGUAAAGCGUGCGUAGGCGGCUAAUUGAGUCGGAUGUGAAAUCCCCGAGCUUAACUUGGGAAUUGCAUUCGAUACUGGUUAGCUAGAGUGUGGGAGAGGAUGGUAGAAGUCCAGGUGUAGCGGAGAAAUGCGUAGAGAUCUGGAGGAAUACCGAUGGCGAAGGCAGCCAUCUGGCCUAACACUGACGCUGAGGUACGAAAGCAUGGGGAGCAAACAGG
This 429-nucleotide ribosomal RNA is filed under the name Pseudomonadota bacterium. RNAcentral's name for it is "Proteobacteria bacterium partial 16S ribosomal RNA". It matches the Rfam family "Bacterial small subunit ribosomal RNA", at positions 355 to 776 of the family's 1533-position model. The record is from RNAcentral. Lineage: Bacteria; Pseudomonadati; Pseudomonadota.